Molecule: ribosomal RNA, 305 nt
Filed under: uncultured bacterium
Lineage: Bacteria
Description: bacterial SSU rRNA
Rfam family: Bacterial small subunit ribosomal RNA
Source: RNAcentral
UCCUACGGGGCGCAGCAGUAGGGAAUUUUCGUCAAUGGGCGCAAGCCUGAACGAGCAAUGCCGCGUGAACGAGGAAGGUCUUCGGAUCGUAAAGUUCUGUUGAAGGGGAAAAAGAGCGGAGAGAGGAAAUGGUCUCCGAUUGAUAUUACCCUUCGAGGAAGUCACGGCUAACUACGUGCCAGCAGCCGCGGUAAUACGUAGGUGGCGAGCGUUAUCCGGAAUGAUUGGGCAUAAAGGGUGCGUAGGCGGCCUGCUAAGUCUGGAGUGGAAGGUACCGGCUCAACCGGUACAGGCUCUGGAAACUG